RNAcentral lists this ribosomal RNA (408 nucleotides) under uncultured bacterium. Its description in RNAcentral is "bacterial SSU rRNA". It matches the Rfam family "Bacterial small subunit ribosomal RNA", at positions 355 to 776 of the family's 1533-position model. The record is from RNAcentral.
UUAGGAAUCUUGCGCAAUGGGGGAAACCCUGACGCAGCGACGCCGCGUGAGCGAUGAAGUCUCUAGGGAUGUAAAGCUCUGUCCUAUGGGGAAGAAGGAUGUGACGGUACCCAUAGAGAAAGCCCCGGCUAACUACGUGCCAGCAGCCGCGGUAAUACGUAGGGGGCGAGCGUUGUCCGAAUUUACUGGGCGUAAAGCGCGUGUAGGCGGCUCUUUAAGUGAGAUGUGAAAUCUUGCGGCUCAACCGCAAAACUGCAUCUCAAACUGGAGGGCUUGAGUUUGGGAGAGGAAAGUGGAAUUCCUGGUGUAGCGGUGAAAUGCGUAGAUAUCAGGAGGAACACCCGUGGCGAAGGCGGCUUUCUGGCCCAACACUGACGCUGAGACGCGAAAGCUAGGGGAGCGAACGGG